UUAUGGCUCAGGAUGAACGCUAGCGGCAGGCUAACACAUGCAAGGUCGAGGGGCAUCGCGGGGUAGCAAUACUCUGGCGGCGACCGGCGAAAGGGUGAGUAACGCGUGAGCAACAUGCCCGUAAGUGGAGGAUAGUCAUUGGAAACGAUGUGUAAUACUCCGUAACAACCGUUGUUGCAUGGACGAUGGUUUAAUAGAUUUAUCGCUUACGGAUUGGCUCGCGUGCCAUUAGCUAGUUGGUGGGGUAACGGCCCACCAAGGCGACGAUGGCUAGGGGUUCUGAGAGGAAGGUCCCCCACAUUGGAACUGAGACACGGUCCAGACUCCUACGGGAGGCAGCAGUGAGGAAUAUUGGUCAAUGGCCGAGAGGCUGAACCAGCCAUGCCGCGUGCGGGAGGACGGCCCUAUGGGUUGUAAACCGCUUUUGUCGGGGAGCAAUAAGGUCCACGUGUGGAUUGAUGAGAGUACCCGGCGAAUAAGCAUCGGCUAACUCCGUGCCAGCCGCGGC
This 508-nucleotide ribosomal RNA is filed under the name uncultured bacterium. RNAcentral describes it as "bacterial SSU rRNA". It matches the Rfam family "Bacterial small subunit ribosomal RNA", at positions 17 to 518 of the family's 1533-position model. The record is from RNAcentral.